This is a non-coding RNA of Schizosaccharomyces pombe (fission yeast), 465 nucleotides long. The record is from the annotation of a GenBank genome assembly. NCBI's taxonomy places the organism in Eukaryota, Fungi, Ascomycota, Schizosaccharomycetes, Schizosaccharomycetales, Schizosaccharomycetaceae.
GCAAAAGCUGAUUAACAUGUUCAUCCAUACCUCCAAUAUCAUCAAAGGAAACAUCGAUUUCGCUGGGUAGAACGAGCUGUGAUGCAACAAUCUGCUCAUACUCAUUUAAUUCCAGAGUCUCCAAUUCCUUGACUUGUUCCCCAGCCCACUCAUCAAGUCGCUUACGGCUUUUGGAAACUGUAUCCUGCCUUUUUUGUCGAUACGGAUCUAAAGUAGACAAAAGUUUAUGUGCUGCGUACCAAGAGCAACCAAAUGCUAAGGCAUAGACAACGAUCUCUUUAAUUGCCCUUUUAGUCGUCGGAUUCAUAAUCAAUUCCCCAGUAAUAAACUUCAAAAUGCAAGCACACAAAAUUUUAUGCAGUAAAUUUGUCUGGUGGCACGCUACUACUAUUGGGGCGGUUGGUAUGUUCAGCUAAAUGGGUAAAGAAGAUAUACAAAGUUGAUCGUACUUUGCUACAUUGUUUG